CCUACGGGGGGCUGCAGUGGGGAAUAUUGCACAAUGGGCGAAAGCCUGAUGCAGCAACGCCGCGUGAGCGAUGAAGGUCUUCGGGUCGUAAAGCUCUGUCCUAAGGGAAGAAUACUGACGGUACCUUAGGAGGAAGCCCCGGCUAACUACGUGCCAGCAGCCGCGGUAAUACGUAGGGAGAUAGCGUCAUCCGGAAUUACUGGGCGUAAAGGGUGCUUAGGCGGCCCGUCAAGUCAGAGGUGAAAGGUUACGGCUCAACCGUAGUAAGCCUUUGAAACUGUAGGGCUUGAGUGCAGGAGAGGAGAGAAGAAAGGCCAGUGUAGCGGUGAAAUGCGUAGAUAGUGGGAGUAACAACAGUUGCGAAGGCGGCUCUCUGGACUGUAACUGACGCUGAGGCACGAAAGUGUGGGGUGCGAACAGGAUUAGAUACCCGUGUAGUC
RNAcentral lists this ribosomal RNA (440 nucleotides) under uncultured bacterium. RNAcentral's name for it is "bacterial SSU rRNA". It matches the Rfam family "Bacterial small subunit ribosomal RNA", at positions 338 to 795 of the family's 1533-position model. The record is from RNAcentral.